UUACCCCAAAUCAGCAUUUUACUUUCUGGCCAUGACCUCCCUCCUUCGCAUAGGACAUAUAUGACUUCGCCUUCCCCAGGACAUUGCCCACCGCCCUCCCUGAACCCCUGUCCCUCUCUGCUCUCUGCCCCCUGCCCCCGUGCCAAGCUCAGUACAGCCCUAAAGCCACUGACGACUCAGAAGCGCCAACUAGCAGGGCCCUGAACACCCCCCAGAGCCGCUCAUGGUUUCUCAACUUCUGGUUCUUCUCUUUUCCCUCAAAUUCUACACCUUCCUCUUCCUCCAAGUAAAUGACCCUCCUGCUACUUCACAGGAAAAACCAAAGUUGCUGGAUGAGAGGUCUGCCCAUUCUCAUCACCCCAGACUUGCCACCUUCCUCUCCGGCCUGGGUACCGUCUCCAGGGCCCCAUCUACCCCUCCUCUACCCAGGCUCCAUCCAGUAGCCCAAGGGUCCCUCUGAGAACAUACAUCAGGGCUCUCUGAGAAAGAAGAGGAAUGCUAAAUCUAGGGGUCAUCAUUUCAAGAGUAGGGCAAUGUCAGGACAGCUCAAGGCCUUCCAUCCUCUGCCGUUCAAGGUCAUGGGAGUGCAGGCACAGCAGUGGGACUUCAGUCAUCUGCUGUGGGUGCUUCUACCCAAACCAGCAACCCCUGAAGAUGCCAAGGAUGCACCCCAUGAAAACCAGCCAGCCAGCCUGGAAGUUUUUAUCUUCUCACCCACCACCAAUACUGAUAAGCCGUACCACCAAGCUGUUAAGAUUGAACGCACCGUGCUAUGGAAGCAUUUAGUUGAGAUUGAAUGCCCCGCAGGCGGCAAGGACUCCCCACUGGAGAGACGCCCUGGUGGACCACAGUCUCAGAGCCCAGCUGUCCCACCCGGAAGAGAGGCCAGCCGGAGAGAUGAUUGAGGCUCUGCUGACGUCUCACCUCUGACUCACGCACGAAACCCCUCACAUGGCAGGACAGAUGGAAAAACACCAAGUUGGAGGGUGGCGUGCAGAUGGCCAGAUGGUUUUCAUCUAAGUGAUGAUAAAAUUUGGACCCAGGGUGCAGACGGAGACCGGGGGCUCUGAGGUGGUAAACGUGCUCCCUCCCGCCAGCCUCUCCUUGCUCACCCUCUUGGGUUCUCUCUCUUUAUGUCUUUGAAUCUGAGAUGUCCCUUUCAAGUUGAUUUCACGCUUGUUUUCUGUCUGAGCUUCUCACUCUCUCCUUCCGUGUCCUUUUCCUCUGCUUCUCCCUUCCCCCCACACU
Molecule: long non-coding RNA, 1248 nt
Organism: Dama dama (fallow deer)
Lineage: Eukaryota; Metazoa; Chordata; Mammalia; Artiodactyla; Cervidae
Exons: 3
Source: RefSeq, a predicted model, not a curated record